GACUUGUGGCUCAAUGGUUGAGCAUCGGCUAGGCAUGCUGUGAAGUAAAGGUUCGAUUCCUUACAGAGUUA
RNAcentral lists this transfer RNA (71 nucleotides) under Daphnia magna. It matches the Rfam family "tRNA". Rfam says of the family: Transfer RNA (tRNA) molecules are approximately 80 nucleotides in length. Their secondary structure includes four short double-helical elements and three loops (D, anti-codon, and T loops). Lineage: Eukaryota; Metazoa; Arthropoda; Branchiopoda; Diplostraca; Daphniidae. The record is from Rfam by way of RNAcentral.